This 484-nucleotide ribosomal RNA is filed under the name uncultured bacterium. RNAcentral's name for it is "partial 16S ribosomal RNA". It matches the Rfam family "Bacterial small subunit ribosomal RNA", at positions 30 to 507 of the family's 1533-position model. The record is from RNAcentral.
AUUGAACGCUGGCGGCAGGCCUAACACAUGCAAGUCGAGCGGAUGAAGGGAGCUUGCUCCUGGAUUCAGCGGCGGACGGGUGAGUAAUGCCUAGGAAUCUGCCUGGUAGUGGGGGAUAAUGUCCGGAAACGGGCGCUAAUACCGCAUACGUCCUAAGGGAGAAAGUGGGGGAUCUUCGGACCUCACGCUAUCAGAUGAGCCUAGGUCGGAUUAGCUAGUUGGUGGGGUAAAGGCCUACCAAGGCGACGAUCCGUAACUGGUCUGAGAGGAUGAUCAGUCACACUGGAACUGAGACACGGUCCAGACUCCUACGGGAGGCAGCAGUGGGGAAUAUUGGACAAUGGGCGAAAGCCUGAUCCAGCCAUGCCGCGUGUGUGAAGAAGGUCUUCGGAUUGUAAAGCACUUUAAGUUGGGAGGAAGGGCAGUAAGUUAAUACCUUGCUGUUUUGACGUUACCAACAGAAUAAGCACCGGCUAACUUCGUG